UACGUAGGUCCCGAGCGUUGUCCGGUUUUAUUGGGCGUAAAGCGAGCGCAGGUGGUUUAUUAAGUCUGGUGCAAAAGGCAGUGGCUCAACCAUUGUAUGCAUUGGAAACUGGUAGACUUGAGUGCAGGAGAGGAGAGUGGAAUUCCAUGUGUAGCGGUGAAAUGCGUAGAUAUAUGGAGGAACACCGGUGGCGAAAGCGGCUCUCUGGCCUGUAACUGACACUGAGGCUCGAAGGCGUGGGUAUCGAACAGG
Molecule: ribosomal RNA, 252 nt
Filed under: uncultured bacterium
Lineage: Bacteria
Description: partial 16S ribosomal RNA
Rfam family: Bacterial small subunit ribosomal RNA
Source: RNAcentral